GCCCCAUCAAAAGCGAGCUAUCUAGUUUAAUUUUAAGAGAGGAUAGAUGCCAUAAGUUAAUUGCUCCAAAAUGGUUGUAUCAAGUAUGUCUCUGAUUUUAAUGUGGUUACACCAGCAACGGCCAUCUAGGGUGGCUAUUUGCAAGGUAAGUAUGUGUUGGUUGGACUGGAUAUGCUGAACAGUGGCCCUCAUACAAGACAUACUGCAUUAGAGCAGAUGAUAUUAUUU
Non-coding RNA from Pelobates cultripes (western spadefoot toad), 228 nucleotides. Lineage: Eukaryota; Metazoa; Chordata; Amphibia; Anura; Pelobatidae. The record is from the annotation of a GenBank genome assembly.